GGGUGGGGGUGAGCGGUCCCGCUGUGGGGCGGCGUCCUGAGCUCUGCGCUCGCAGGCCGCCGUUUUGCAGCAGGGGCCUGCGGUGCCCGGGGCUGCUUCUGCCUGUGGCCCCGGAGAGCGUCUGCCCUUGUGUGUCAGCCGCUCCUAAACUCCUUUGUGCUGGGUUGGGUUAACUGCUGUGUUUAAUGCUAGUUUACUAGCUGCAGCCCCCAAAACGCUAGGAAUUACAUUUUUAUUCCAAGAGUAUUUAUUGAAGUCCAGGAUUUUUAGGUACCCUUUGAGUGCGUACUUUAACACAGCAUCAGCAAUUAUUUCAGGUGCAGGGCCACUCACCAAGUGGUGGCACCUGUUGCAGCCCUGCCCCUGGCUCGGUGCCCUGCCCCUUGGUCGCCGUCCUGUGGCUGCGAGUCCUAUCCCAUAACCCUGACCUUUGCCACUGGAAGUCCCUCUCUUUGCCCCCUGGAAACACUCCCUUCAGGAAGGGGUUUUGUCAUCUCAGAAGCAGAAAAAUACCGAGUUAUAUUCUAAAAAGAGAACAUCUACAACAACGACUAAUUUUAUUAAAAAAUUUAAAAAAGCAGUAAUUUGAUUUCAAGAGUCACUCUUGUGCUCCCUGGGCUUCUCGGAGCACAGCCAGGCUUCCAGAAACCGGUGCACCAUUGGAUCCAGCAGGUGCAGCCUGUGAGCUGGGGCUGCAGCCGUGCAGCUAGCACCCUGCCUGGGCAGCCUUGAGGGAAACGGCUGCUGCGGAGGGAAGCACCCGCCCCCUGCGACUCGGGGGCUGUGCAAUGCAUAGCAGCUCGUAUUGGCAGGCUCUGCUGAGGGCUGUGGGGGGGGAAGCAGUGAGGGGCCUGAUUUCUCUUCUUCCCCCUCCCCCAGCCUGCGUGCAUCUGUGGGCAGGCUCCAGAGCACUGUGGUUGUUUCGUUAAGCAUUGUGAUUAGCUGCCGAGAGAACCCAUCGGAGCGCUCUGGACAGACAAUAAGCCUCUGGAAGGGGAAAACUUAUAGAGGGGAUGACUGGUUCCUAUGGAGGGGGUGCGGGGUGGAAUAGAGCUGCUUCUGUAACACUUUGGGUGGGAGUUUUUCUGCCUUCUGUGCUGUGAAGACUGGAAGUGGAGUUGCUUGUAGGUUUUUUUUGGUUGUGGGGGGGUUGGUUGGCCUUUCUGCUAAAGUUUCUAGGGUCUGAGAAGCAAGUGUAAUGAAGAGACCUAGAGCUGAUGACUCGUGGAGGGUAGAGGAGGGAGCAAGAGGCUGGGUGUGUGCUUCUGGAUUCCCUGUGGUGAGGCCUCUGCCCCUGUGCCCUUAGCUGCCUUGGAGCGGGACAUGGUCACAGCCUGGGGGAGGUGCAAGCUUCCUUGGAUCCGUGUGGGGUUGUCUUUGAUUUGUCAGUUUGUUGCAAGGCACAGGGAUGGCUUCUGGGAGCUUGGAGACACUGGGUGGUGGGGCCUGGAUGUGUGUGUAUGCUGUUUGGGAGGGAUUUCAGUCUGGUCUUGAUUGACCCUGUGGGCUUCAUGGCUUGUUUUCUCUUUCAGGAUCCUGGGUGUUGUGGAGAGACUUUGGGUUGGAGAUGGAUGCAAAGAAGUGGAGGCAUGCCAUGGUGAUGGAGGAUAGAGCAGGAGGAGUAGCGUGAUGGAAGGUGGACUUACCUCAAGCGGGGGUGGUGUUUUGAGUGGGGGUGUCUGGGUGGGCUGGGAAGUCCCUGCUCUGGGUUGGUGUCCUGAGCUGCACGCUCCCAGGGCAGGGCUACUCAAGCGGAGGGCCAUGGCACCUAGGAGUGCCUCUGAGAUGAGUGGUGUAUGGCUGGGCUGGCUUGGCCCAGAGUUGCUCUGAGUCUGUGCAAAGAUCUCCAGGUUGCGGUGGGACAGAGGAUUGGGUCUCUGCCUGGCUGUACCUGUUGCCACAUGCCUCCUUUCAGUGCUGGGAAUUGCAUUUAUGUCUCAUCUCUCUGGGUGUGUCACUGGUGUCUGUCUUUGUACUUCUGUUCUUAAAAAUCACUGCAGCACUUGUUACUUUGUUCUUCCCAGGACUGAAAGGGGGGUUGUGUUUGCAUUUAAAUUGAUCCCCUCACUUGGGAGGGGUGUAGCUGCAGCCCCCUGCGGUUUGUUAGUAGGGCCAGUCCAAGCUGCUGUUGUACCCCUGGUUGGGAGGGAGGGGGUGCUGUCCCGUUGGUGCUGUGAGACCUGCGCAUAGCGCCGCAAGUGUUAAUUGCUGUUGUUCAUUUUUGGUGGUGUGGACAUGUUUGGCAAGAUGAUCAAAGUCUGGUCCUGAGUGGAGAAGAGCUGAGGAAGAGGUGAAGAGCCCUGGAGCUGGUAUGGCGUGGAAGGAGUUGGAGAUGGCCCGAAGCCAUGCUCAUGUGAUCACCUGGAGCGAGGUAUUUGCUUCUUGCGGGUUGCAGCUCUGGAUGGAGAGAUCCUGCAGCUGCAGGUGCCUGCAUCGUAUCUGGGAAAGGGAUGGCAAGCGUGAGGACUGACGGCGCACAAGGACUGAAAGCGCAGCUUGAUGCCAGGUGUGGGUCCUGAUGUUCCUGGAAGGAAAGGGUGAGGGCACAGGGACGGGAGCAGAGCAGCGGUAACGGAACCAGAGGAUCAGGAUGCUAGAAGGUGUUUCGUGUUUGGGAUGAGGAGCCACCUUGCCAAGGCUUCAGGUACUGAAGACGAGGUGAAGAGCCGCAGAGAUGGUGGAGGAGGAAAUGGGCAGCUGUCUCGUGACUUCCCAGUUUGUGUGGUGUGAGGCCUCUGCCCCUGUGACGUCACCUGUGUGGAGCCUGCGGUGGGUUUGAGCUUCCUUGGAGCGGUCAUGCUGUGUGUACGGUGGUUACUGUGAUACAUCAUGUUUUGAGUGCCUGUGACUAUCCAGCUCCGGGAGGCCGCAGACAAGCCUUUGAGAGCUCGGAAGCCUGUAUGCAUCUUGUGGGGGAAGAGGGACGCAGGGAGUUCUGUGCCAUGCUGGUGGAAGAGGAAGGAAAACAAUGCUUAAAGAGGCGAGCCGAGGUAGAGGUAAAGCGACCUAGAGCCACAACGUUUUGGGAGGUGGAAGACACAGGGGACUGCGCUCCAAUGGUGACUUCUGGGUCACUUGGAAGGAAGGCCUCUGUCCUUUUGCUGGAGUUGUGUGCAUGAGCAGAGCGUGCAGAGGUGCCUGUGUACCCUGUGCAGAGAGGAAGGCAAUCGGGGACAAGGCUGGGCUGGAGAAGGAGCAGAAUUAUGCCAGUUUGGGAUCCUGCCCUGCGUGGAGGGAAAUGAAUGCCGGUUCAGGGAGUGGAGCCAAGCAGUGCCCAUGGAGGCGGAAGCAGGAGGAAUUGAAUGCCGUGAGGUGUGUUGGCGCUGCAUGGGCAGAUCCAGUAGUUGGGUCCUGGCGUGUGUGGAAGGAAAGGGUGAGGACACUGGAGCAGAGCAGUGGUAAUGGAGCCAGAGGAUCAGGAUGCUAGAAGGAGCCAUCUUCUGAAGGCUUGAGGGCUGUGAAGCAGACACUGUGAAGAUGAAGUGAAGAGUCCCAGAGAUGGUGCAUGAGGAAAUGGGCAGCCUUGUCAUGACUUCCUGACUUGCGUGAUGUGAGGCCUCUUCUCCUGUGGCAUGACCUGGCUGGACUCCUGGGGAGGUUUUGUGUGUGUAGCUUCGCAGGCGGUGCAUCUCUGCUCCCACUUCCUGCUGUGAGGACACCUGGAUAAGGAGCAGCAUGAUUGUGGCUGGGUGUGCGGCCUCAAUGUUGUGGGGGAGAGGAAUAGAAGUGAGUUUUCUACGGUGGUGGUAGAAGAUGGAGGAACUGGAUCCCGAAAGGUGGGCUGGGUUAAAGUGGGAGGCUGGGUUGCGUUUUCCCUGGUCAUAUUUGGGUGGGGGAGGAAACCCCUAGUGUGUGAUGGGGUCUGGAGCUCUGUGCUGUCUGGGGAGUGAUGCUGAAGCAGGGAACUGUGGCCCUUAGGGAUGCUGCAGAGCAGGGGGUCUAAGCCUGAUUUUGGUUUAGCUUGGGGUUGAGUCCUGACUGCUUGUAAAGGCUGGAAAUUGUCCUUGAGUAUAUUAGGGGUUUCAGUGUUUGCCCCUGGCUUCUGGGUGCAGAUGACGGCAUUGGAUGUGCCGGGGCAGAGGAGCGGGUGCGUGCGUGGCUGCCUCUGCCUGGCUGUUGCUGCUGCCACUGGUCUCCCUUCAGUUCUGGGAAGUGCACUCUGUCCUAUGUCUCUGGGUGUGUCACUGGUGUUUCUUUCUACUUUGAUAUCUAAAAUCACAGCAGCACUUCUUUCUUUGCUCUUCCCAGAGCUGGAAGGAUAGGUGUGUUUGCAUGUAAAUUGAUGCCCUCCUUUGGGUGGGCUUUGACUGCACCCUGUGUGCCUCAUGUGCGGGUGGGGGUGUUAUGCUUUUGGUGUCCUAGAUUGCGGGGGGCAUUGUGUCUGUGCUGUCAGUACUAUGAGAUGUGAAUACUGUUGUGUGUAGUAAUUGCUUGUUGUUUUGGGUGUGAUGUCAAUGUGUGGAGUGUGAGCAGAGAAGAGCUGAGGGGAAGAGGUGAAGAGACCUAGAGCCAGUGCUACGUAGAAGCAGGUGGUCAUGCAGCCAUGCUCACUUCUGGGUCACCUAGAGGGAGGCCUCUGCCCGUUUGGUGGAGCUGUGUGCAUGGGCAGAGCCUGCAGUGGGAGGUCCCUGCGUCCCCUGUGUGGAGAGGACGGCAAGGAGGGAUGAGAGUGCACUGGAGGAGGAGUGUGAUGCCAGGUCCCAUGAGUGCAGUCUCUUGGGGUGAGGCCCUUCUCACAGAUGGAUGGGUGCACCCUGGCCAGGCACGUCUUGGAGAGCUGUGAGCUGGGGCCUGGGGUCCUGACCUGUGCAGAGGGAAAUGACUGCCGGUUGAAGGAGUGAAGCUGAGCAGCGCCCACGGAGGAUGAAGCAGGAGGAACUCGAUGCUGCACGGUGUGUCGGUGCUGGAUGGGCAGGUCUGGCAUUUGUAGUGGGGAGAGGUGCUCCCUUGGCUGGACGUGUAGGGUGGGAAUGCCUCCACAAAGAUCAGGACCCUGGACCGGAGUUCAGCCCAAGGAGCAGAAGUAAACGCAGGAGAAGGAAGCCACUGAGGAGAAAGGAGAGGGCGAAGGACUGGAGCAGAGCAGUGGUUUCUGAGGAUGAUGAUGUGCACCAGACUGUGGGAAGAGGGUGAAGCGUCCCAGAGGUGCUGGAGGAGGUGCGGUCAGUCCCUGGUUGCCUGGUUUGAGGCCUCUGGCUUUGUGGUGUCUCUUGGCUGGAUCCCUAUGCAUCUGUGGUCCCUGUGGUAGGUGGGCGAGUGCUUACUUGGAGCAGCGUGGGACUUCUCUCCAAUCUGCCAGUUGCCUCCAUGUUUUUGUUCUUGUGUUUUGGUGAAGAUUUUCUGUAUCUUGCAGGUUUCUUUUUUUCUCCAGCCCAGUCCUGGGUGUUGGGCAUUGACUAGGUAGGGUAGACGGCUGGAGAUCGAUCUGGAUGUUUCUGACUGGGUCCUGGUCCUUGGAGAGAAGUUUGAGCAGAGAAGGGUGGAAGAUGGAGGCAGAGAGGAUGGUGCAAGCAGGGGGUCUUUUUACCAAGACUUUUGGGGCCGGGAGGAGAAGUGGAGAUUGGGCAGAAGAAGAGAAGACAUCUUGAAGUCAUGAACCAUGGAGCUGCCUGUCAUUGGUGCUUGUGCUGUAGCUCUGUCGUGAGGAGCAGGGCAGGGGCAGUGACAUGCUGAGGGCUGGAGAAGGAGCACCACAAAGAUGGCUGUGAGGCCUUGGUCAGGCGUGAAGUAUGUGAGCCAGGAGAGUCGUACAGCACACACGCAGGAUGGAGGGCUGCUGUGAAAUCUGGUGUAGGGCUGGGCCAGCCGGUCCGAGUCUGUCGGAGUCCACGUAUAGGAGAAACGACGGAUGUCUAAGGAGCUUGUGGGGCGUUUGAUCCGGGCUCAUCCCUGGCACUUGGGUUGCAGGCCUGGCCCCUCUCUGGGGUGUGUUGAGGGUGAGCUCUGGGUUUGCGUUCAUGCCCCUGACUUGCUGUUGCUACAGGCCUCCCUUCAGUCUUGGGAACAGCGCUAUGUCCUGUGUGCCUGGGGGUGUCACUGGUGUCUCUCUCUUUCUACCUCUUUGCAAAAUGUCUGCAGCACUUGUUCUUUUUCUGCUCUUGUCAGGACUGGAGGGAAGGCUGUGGUGGGUUUUUUCCUGCCACCUAAAAUGGUUUCCACCUCGGGGAGGGGUCUGACUGCACCCUGUGUGCCCUGUUUAGGCUGGGUGGGGGUAUCGCCUUUGAAUUCUCGGGGGUUGCUUUUGCCCUCAGGGCUGUGAGUCCCGUGUGCCGCGUGACUUUUCCUAAUUUAUUUUUGUUUUGGUGACAUGUACGGGAGUCAUCUGGCUGAGGCUCGAGGCUCCUAAGUGGGCAUCGGGAAGAAGAGGUGGAGAUAUAGCGCCUGUGACCUGAGGAAGCUGGUGAAAGAAACGGAUGUCGGCGCAUUCGCUUUGCUGUUGCCCGGUGUGAGACUUCUGCCCGUGUGGUGGCCCUGGGCUGGAAGCCUUGCUGCGUGAAGCCUGCGAUAGAUGUUGGAUUGCUGCUCCCUGUGUGUUGAGGAGGAUGGGCUGCAAUGACUGGAGGCCUGGAAAAGGAGCCGUGUGGCCAGGGUCCUGGCCUGCAUGGAGGGAAGUAGGUGAGAGGACUGCAUCGUGGAAGAGCCGUGGGACAGUGUUGGAUGACAGACACGGACCGGCCGGAUGUUGCCCGCUACGUUGGAAUGUCCCUUCUGUAUUGGGAUUCUGCGUGGGGGUGUGGGGUGGGUUUGGGAGUGUCCUCAGCUUUAUGAUCCUGGAGCCAGGGGUUUGCAAGUAGUAUGUUUGGGUCAGUUUGUCUGUGCUGUGGGUGGACCUAGGGUGACCAGAGGUGAAAUCCAUUCCUGUGACCCUGUAGUUGGACGAGCACCCAGACACUUGCAGGAACCGCUGGGCAAGCAGGCCCAGAGCUUUCAACUGUUGAGCACAGCAAUGCUGGAGCCAGCUAGCAUGGAAGCAGAAGGGCUGGCCGGGCGCGGGGCCCGGGCUGCCUCUGUGGCUUCUGUGCUAGUGAGGUUGAGAAUUGCAGUGCUGGGGGGUUGGAGGUUUUGGACCUGCUUGUGCAGGGUUCUUGUUGGUGUUGGGGUGCUGGUUCUGCUGGGUCAGAGCAAUGGGUUUUAUUCUGCCUGACUGCCAUGUUUACCGUGUCCUGCAGGGCUGGGAGCCUGUCAUAGCAGUGUGUGUUUGGCUGGGGCGGGGUGGUUGUCUGGUUUGGUCCCUGAGCAGUGUGGUGAGCAUGUUUGUUAUUACCCUGAAAUAAAAUAGUUUUCUGAUAGCCUACUGUUAGGCUAACAAUAAUUUAGAUUAUUAAGAAGUAUUAGCUUUGCAGUUGAAUACAAGGCAUGACCUGUGGCCUAGCAAUGCCGCUGACCACAAGGCAGAAUGAUAGCUAAGCCUUUGCUUAUGUUAAGUAAUCAUUUUAACUGUGUUGACUAUUUUCUGAGUAAAAUGCAGCAAGUGAAUCUGUCUGUGUGCUGUAAACCAGAUACAGCAAGGAACAAGGUAAGAGGAAGAAGGCAUUGUUCUAAGUACAGUGAUCGUGUCCUUAAGAAGUAUCUAGUACUGUGCAAGUUUUUGCUAACAUCAUAAUGUUACUGUUAUUUAGGUUAGAAAAUAUUGUUGGAAAAUCAAUGUGACCUUUGUAUGACCUUUGGUCAAUGCUGGCUGAUGCAACCUUGCAGUAAGAUUGCCAUGAUCUGUCAAUAUAGGCGGGCAGACAAGGUGAUUGGGCCCAACCGUGCGGGGUGAGCAAAGCCAAGCCAUCUUGGUGAUUUCCUCUGAGUUUUGCGCAUGCGUUAUGAAGGAGCUUAUGGAACCAGAGUUUAUAAAUCUAUGUGUUGAGUUGCAGUCGGGGGGUCUCUCUGCCCUUACGAGGACAGGGGACCUUUGGUCGAAUAAACUGAAAAGACCACACCCUCAUCUCUUGCUUAUUGGAGUCUCAGCUGGGAAACGAGCUCUGUUCGGGUUAAGAGAGUCUGCAGGUGUUCCCUUACCAGAUUGGGAGCCUGGUCAGACAAUUUCUCUCACAAUUUGGCGAGCCAGCCAGGAGCACCCAGCUCGUCUCGCUGCCGCUGCCGCCUAAACCCAACCUCCGGCCGGCCGUAACAGAGGUGAGUUCACCACGGGAGUCUUGGGUUAAGGCUGCAGACACGGCGGGACGAUAAGGUGACUCCUUCAAUUUUACUGGCAUGGUGUGGUCUUUUAUAUGUUGUGUAUGUCUUGUCUAACGUGUUAUAGGCCAGUCUGUUCUCCGGAUCCUCAAACCUGGGCACACAGGCAAUUUUAGUUAAUUGCCCGUUCGACUCUUUUGAGCCGAUAAAUCUGUGUGGCGCGUUUUAUGUCUCCAUUCGUGCACUGAGGAACCGUCUCUGUUUCUGACCUUUUAACUGGAUAAGUCCUCCAACCUGUUUGAGGCAUCUUAGAGGCCUGCCUUUCCAGGUUGGUUAGGUCUAGGGCAGCCAAGAAAGCAGGGUUUUUGGGGAGCUUAAUAGUAUAUCAGGUUAUCUGGGAAAGGGAUGUCCGCCAAGAAUGACGAUGGGACAGAAACAGUCAAUUCUGGCUAGUAGUCCUCUUGGAGAAUUGUUAAGCAACUGGAAUAAGUUAUCUGGACAUGGCCAAUUGAGUAAGAAGCGCGCUAUAGCCUUAUGUACUAGUGUCUGGCCCGGCUACACUUAUAAAAACCCUGAACUUCAGUGGCCAGUGUUGGGAUCCCUCAGUGUAGAUAAAUGAAGGUACCUCAGGGGGUUCCUAGAGGAACCCCAUCCCCGACUAAUGGAUUAUUGGUAUCUCUGGUGUGAUUUGAUGGAUUUAAUUCUGCAGAGGAAAAAAAAAACUGAUUACUUCUGGCCGCUCAACAACGUCUGUGGUGUCUUCUCCCCCUUAUUCUCCCGCUAUGCCACCAUUGGUGACUAGGGGACCAGCCAUAAUAAACCCGGCCGCUUAGGCCGUGGCCCUUCCGGCACCUUUUACCCCUCCAUCAGGCUCCUCUCCUCCCGUAACAGGAGUGUCAGGGUCUGUACCUGCCUCCUCGGAGCCUACUUUCAGUCCCAUAGCAGGACAUACUAGGUAGCGUUUGAAUCAGGUCAUACACCUGCUGUUGUACACAUGUAAUGACAUCUGCACACCCCCAUCACACAUGCAGUCACGCCUGUUCAGAGUCCCUUACAGACACGCGCCUGCACAGAACCCCAAAACACACUGCGACAUACACAUGUGCCCCAACAGGUGUCCGUGACACACUUGCACACAAAUGUGCAUCCUCGCACACAUGCAUGUGCACAGUCUCACACACGCACCCAGAGCCCAGGUGCUUGUGACACGUGCAUGCUCACACACACAUGGAACUCAGGUGUCUGACACACAUGCAUAUGUGCUCUCGCGGACACAGUCUAGCACACAUGUACAGAACCCAAGUGUCUGUGGCACACAGGCAAGUACCCUGACAUAUUCACAUUCACACACACACAAGCCCACAUGGGUAGAUAUGAAUCAACCUGCCCCCAAUGAUGUGUGCAAUUAUUGUAAACAAUUGGGGCAUUGGAGACGAGAACGCCCAAACUGCCCUAAGGGACUUCCCCCUUAUGGAGGAAGAAAGGGGGGAACCCAGGGAAACAACCGGGCUGCCAGCACCGAUCCUACAGAUCCCUGGGUCCAGAGUUUGCAAGAAGAUAUAGAUGACUCCCAGUGAAAUAAGGGGGCGGCUCUUCCACACGAUGUAUUUAGGGGAAUCUUCCUCUUUUGAGUAUACCUGCGCCCCUUCAUCCCCUUAUGUACCACUUCAAAUAGCAGGAAAAUUUAUAAAUGUCUUAUAGAUAGAGGAGCAGAUCUGUCCUCACUGGGAGAAUCUCCAGAAAGGGCGGGAAUUGCAGUCUCAGGAUCUGAAAAGAUUAUGAGAGUAAUUGGAAAAUCUAUGCAAGUGCCCCGUGGCACUGAAACACAAGUGCAGAUAGGACCCUUGACCACUAUUCAUGCUUUCCUAUUAGCUGAAGGAACUGUAGUGCACCUCCUUGGAAGAAAUCUACUCUAUAAACUACAGACCAGAAACCCUUCACCCUACUUACUCAUGAGAAUCAAGGCGUUGCUUCAGGUGUCUUAACUCAGCCAUGGGGAGUUUCUAAUCGUCCCAUAGCAUACUAUUCUGCUCAGUUAGAUCCUGUAGCAAGGGCAGCAAUUCUCUGUCUUAGAGCAGUUGCUGCUGCCGCUGUGCUAGUUCAAAAGGCUCAAGAUUUAGUGUUAGGACACUCUCUUGUGGUUGAAAUAUCUCAUUCAGUGGAAGCUCUCCUACUACAGCACAACCUCUGCCAGCAGGGACCAACGCCCAGGCCGCUGAGCUAGCGGCACUCUGAUGAGCAUGCAAAUUGGCCACAGCCUCCAGGGUCACUAUCUAUACUGACUCUAAAUAUGCUUUUAGUAUCUGUCAUGCGCUAGGACAGUCCUGGUGACAAAGAGGUUUUAUCACGUCCUCUGAUGCUGUAAUCAGCAAUGCCACGGAAGUCCAAGAACUGCUAGAGGCUGUCGUGUUACCAGGUGAUAUAGCGGUAAUGCACGGUCCCAGACAUUCCAGAGAAGAUACUGACAUUGCUAAAGGAAAGCAUCUUGCAGAUGCUGUAGCUAGAGCCGCUGCACUACAAACUAAAGGAAGUCUCCUUGCAUCUCAAGUUGUUCUUCCACCCUUGUCUGUUAUUUAUGACAAAGUCCCAGCGGAUGAAGUAUCUAUAUGGGUCCAAAAGUGGGAAGCUGCGCAAGGAAAGGAUGGAGUGUGACGUGUGCCAGACGGUAGACCAAUUGCUCCUCGCACCUUGCUCCGAAGUCUGGCUCAGGAUGCCCACAGAUGCUGUCAGUUGGGAAAAGGAGAAAUAGCAGAACAGGUCCUCUCCACCUGGUUUGCUCCAGGUAUACAUCUAGAAGCUGCCCGAAUAACUCUGCAAUGUUCAGAGUGCAGAGCCUUCAACAAAUACAGAGGACACACAAAAUUACAAGGGGCCCGACCGUGGGCCUAUUUACCCUUUGAAAAACGACAUGGAUUUGCUCAAAGCUGUAAAUUUCAAGCACUGCCUAGUAGUGGUAGAUCAAGUAACAGGAUGGCCAGAAGCUUUCCCCACUCGAGAAGCGGAUUCAGUAGCAGUAGCCAAACCCGUAUUAAAAGAAAUCAUCCCACAUUUCGGCAUUCCAGGAGGAAUAAACUCUGACUGGGGAACUCACUUUACAGAAACUGUUUUAAAAGAAGUUUACAGAGUUUUUGGAAUAAUAACAUACUUGCACGCACCCUAUCGCCCUCUGUCCUCGGGUCAGGUAGAGAGUAUGAAUCAGAGUAUAAAAUCCCUUUUAGGAAAGAUCUGCUCCUAAACCAAAUUGAAAUGGUCAGAUGCUUUACCAAGGGUGCUGUUCGCUAUAAGAACAAAACCCAAAUGGCCUCUCAACCUUGUCCCCCUACGAGUUGUUGUUUGGUCACGCUCCUGUUAUAUAAGAGAUGGGAAAAUCUGCAUGUUAGCUUACUCGGCGGAGAUGAAGCUUUAAUUAGUUAUGUUUUAUCCUUACAGGAGUCUCUCUAGUGUUUACACAGGUCAGCUGCUUUGGUUCAGCUGGUACCCCUGGACUGUAACCUUCACUCCUAUCAAUCAGGACGCUGAGUUUGGGUAAAACAGCAUCGGUGAAAAACCGCCUCGGCCCAAGUCUGGGCAGGUCCGUACCAAGUUCUUCUUACUAUACACGCUGCUGUGAAAAUCGCCGAGAAAGAGGGCCGGAUUCAUCGCGGUCGCCUCAAACCUGGUAUCGGCAAGUAAUGACCGGUCAGCUGCUGUUCCGCCUUUAUGGCUAGAAAGAAUCGGAGAAUCGUGGACCGUUCAGACUCCUUAAUAGAAAUGAUACGUGUAUUAAGCUUGCUUUGUAUUAUCUUUCUUGUUAUACUUUGUGUUUGUAUUUCACUGUGGAUGCAGGGAAGGUUAUAAGUUAAUAAUGGCAUUUCACCGGGCUAUCCUAACAGGAUUAUUGCUCUUGAUGCAUAAAACACCAUGGCUAUUUAUGGGAAAGCGAUACAGAACAGGAAGACCAGUGGAAAGAUAAUACUUACCUGAUUUCCACUAUAGCUAUAGCACAGGCCCUAAAAUUUGUCUAAUGGUUGGAUAUGUGGUACACAGCCUCCUUCUACUAACUUUCCACCCUAUCCUUUAAUCUCUUGGGAAGGGUUUUUUUCUAAUCCAGAGUGGGUUGAUACGGAUAGAGCUGGAAUAAGUACCUGGCAGGACAAUCCUUAUUUUAAAGAGAGAGUACUUUCAGACAUCAUGUUAUCUGCCCAGGUGUGUUGGGAAAAAAGUUAGUGUUAUCUUACACAUUGCAAUCUGUUAUCCUGUACUCCGCUGUACCAUCUUCUUCCCUCUGGCCCCCCCCCCCCGCCUUAUCUUAUCUGACUUCUAGCUGCAGCUGGUACCCAGUACACAGACUUAAUUUCUGCUUUUUUCUAACAAAAUGGUUAGGGCACUUGACAUAAGAAAAUAGUUGGCUUAGAGAUCAUUCUGUCUUGUGGUCAGGAAAACUGCUAGGCCACAGGUCAUGCCUAGUGUUUAGCUACGAAGCUAAUACUAUGUAAUAAUCUAAAUUACCCUGAAAUUAAAUAGUUUUCUAUAGUAUACUGUUCACAAGAAAGACAAACUUGCCCAUCACUCUGACUGUGAGGUGGAAGAGGUGCCAGGAGGAUGUGUGGGGUCUGAGUUGUGCCUUGGUGUGUGCUUAGUUGGGUGAGAGGGGUGCGAAGCUGCCUGGGUGUGGUGGGAUCGUGCUCUGCUCCCUUGCUUGUUUGCUUUGUUUGGUGAUGUUUGUGUGUGUCCUUGUGUUGUUUGUUGUGAGGCUGGCAAUGUUUUCUUCCUGGUGGUUUGUUUUGUACAUGGCUGUUUGCUCACCUCCUGUCUACUGAGCUUUUUGUAUGUAACAUGUAGAGGAACUUGUGGGCCAGCCUGGAAAAAUAAAAUAAAGGAGAAAUGGUUUUGGCA
This is a long non-coding RNA of Alligator mississippiensis (American alligator), 12999 nucleotides long. RefSeq lists it as uncharacterized. NCBI's taxonomy places the organism in Eukaryota, Metazoa, Chordata, Crocodylia, Alligatoridae. The record is from RefSeq and is a predicted model, not a curated record. The transcript has 24 exons.